GUAGAUAUAGUUUAACAAAAACAUUAGAUUGUGA
This 34-nucleotide transfer RNA is filed under the name Glis glis (Fat dormouse). RNAcentral's name for it is "tRNA-His". Lineage: Eukaryota; Metazoa; Chordata; Mammalia; Rodentia; Gliridae. The record is from RNAcentral.